GUACGAGAGGACCGGAGUGGACGUACCUCUGGUGUUCCAGUUGUCAUGCCAAUGGCAUUGCUGGGUAGCUAUGUACGGACGGGAUAACCGCUGAAAGCAUCUAAGCGGGAAGCCCCCCUCAAGAUUAGGUUUCUCUGGACCCUCGAGGUCCCUGAAGGGUCGUCGAAGACUACGACGUUGAUAGGCGGGGUGUGGAAGUGCAGUAAUGCAUUAAGCUAACCCGUACUAAUUGCCCGUGAGGCUUGAUCAU
Molecule: ribosomal RNA, 250 nt
Filed under: Gammaproteobacteria bacterium
Lineage: Bacteria; Pseudomonadati; Pseudomonadota; Gammaproteobacteria
Description: partial 23S ribosomal RNA
Rfam family: Bacterial large subunit ribosomal RNA
Source: RNAcentral